UGGAUGUUGACACACUAGAAGGAGGAUCCCCUAAUCAUUUCUUCACUAAUCUCUUUAUUCUUCUAUUUGAUCAUCUCAAGAACUCCCUCCCUUAAUAUUGCCUCUAUACUUCGCAUACUUGGAAAAAUACCCCAUCUUUAAUCAUUUUCUCAUUUUGUUUUAUAAGUUUGAAACACUUUUCAGUGUCAUGUCCAUUGAUUUGAUGCAACUUGCAACAUUUGUUUUGCCCGCCCCAAUUGUUUAUCACCCACCUCAUAGGAAUUCAAGCAACCUCAUCGAAUUCACAUCCUUCAAGAUAUGUCUCCUCAAAAUAUUUAGCGGCAUGUGGUGUGAAAUUUCUUCAAAACCCAUCACUUUAUCCUCCCUUAUGUAGUUUCUUCUUGAUCAACCUCCAUCACUUUUCUUACUCUAACCUGAUUUCGAUUUUAGAUUAUUUUCUUAGAACUUCAUACCUGAUGGUCCUUCUUGUCUUUCUAUAGCACACUUGAUAGCCAUCGUCUCCUCGACUUUAACAUGACAAGUAGUCAUUGUAUGAAUCUCAAUAAUUGUCUUAACUUUUUGGUGAACAAGAUAUUCAUUGAAUAGGCUUGCCUAAAGACCUUUACAAUGGUUGCCACGAACAUCCUCAUCCUAUCAAACCUCAUUAGUCAUGAAUAAUGCAACAAACAAACAUGCGAAGGCAUCCAAAUCAACGGCCAACCAUUAAUCAACAUUUGUGCUCAAAACAUCUUCAAAUUUUUACUGGGAUCUUGAGCUCCAUCAAAUGACUCCACCUUUGGAACCAAAAAGUGAAGAGAUAUAGGUUCCACUUCAGUUGGUUCUAGAAAGGGUUGAAAUCCCAAGAGUGAUCAACCACACUGCAUUUCCUUCCAAGCGUCUUAGGUUGGAAUCAUGUGUUCUCAUAACCUCCCAAGCAGCCUCAUUCUCACGAUUCAUCUACUCCUGAACCUCGUAACUCCUUUUGACCUCAUCUACACUCCUUUUUGACUCCUUACUCUCUCUGUGCAUGUCAUCCAUCACUGCCAUCAAUUGCUUUCCAAUAAUGUCUUGAUUUUUCACCAUCUUUACCUAGCUCUCAAGUUGUGAGAUUUGCAAAAUGGACACUAGAAAAAAGAUUCUAGCAUAGUACUGCAAAUGACACCAAAAUGUUCCAAUUGAUAAAGAGAAAACUCUGUCAUCAAAGUAUUCAAAAGUAAUUAGAGAAAACUCUUAUGUCUGUCUAACCUGUUUAUUAAUUAUAUGAUUAUUUUGUCUAAUCUAUUUUUUAUCUUUUAUUCUUUAUAAUUCACAUGGACCGUUAUCUUUAGGUGUAUAUGUAUAAAUGACUUGUUAUGGUAAUAUCUUAAAAAAUAAUUUUUAUAAUAAGAAUCGCCUUCCCUAUAUAAAUUAUCUUAAUAUAUUGUAUAUACUUAUGAUUUGUUAACCUUGGUGAGUAUCUGAGUAUUUUGUUAAUAGUCGUUCGAUAAACAUUAUGUAAGAUGUAAUUGGUCCAAACUUACUUGUAAUGGUAACGUGUCGAUCAGGCUUGGAGCUAAGAGGUGUCGGUGUUGAUUGCGAGCUUGCAUCGGCGUAAGUUGCACCUUUCUGCAUGCGAAGAAGGCGUGGCAGUAGCAGCAGUGGCUCCAUAAUUAGCAACUCGACGUGGCAUCUCUUACACUCUAGACUUCUCCAGAUUUUACUACCUACCAUAUCCAAAAUAAAUAUUAAAGAAGUUGUGUCUCCCAUGUUUACUCUUUUCUUUUUCUUAUUCCACCAAUAAU
Molecule: long non-coding RNA, 1760 nt
Organism: Cajanus cajan (pigeon pea)
Lineage: Eukaryota; Viridiplantae; Streptophyta; Magnoliopsida; Fabales; Fabaceae
Source: RefSeq, a predicted model, not a curated record